UACUGUUUCGUCUGUUUUGUUCCAAUUGAUUUUGAAAGAAAAAGAAAAAAAAAAAAGAAGAAACUUUGCUGCUGUGUGUGAUGUUUCCUCUCUCUGUUUUCAGCAUUCAUAAGUCAUAACUUCUGUGUUGUGUUCCGCGAUUGCUUCUUGUUUUUCAGUUCUUACUACCCAAAAUCCCCCCUUAGGAAGUUAAAAAAUAACAAAUCUUAGGUGGAUUUUCUUCUCUUGAUUUGCGUUGUAAAAUUUGUGUUCCACUUUCUGUGUCUUUUACCUGUGAGUAUAUCGUGUCUCAGUUCAUAAAACCCAUAAAAAAAACACAAAAGGAAAACUUAAGUUUUGAAUCUGGCAAUCAUAUUAUUUUUGUAUUGGUUCGGAGAUCAGUGAAAGUUUUUUGGCCUUUUGCUUUCAAGUCUUCAUUACUGCUGUCUUGUGUCGAAUCAUCUUGUUUCAGUUGCCUUUACAUCCCCUUAUUUUGUUUUCAUUCCCAGAACUAGAAGAAAGAAUCCUUUAAUCAAGUAAUUGCUUAAGCCUUUGGAUUCGGUCAACACCAAGUCAAGAGAUUCAGAGAGGAAUAAAAAAAUUAAUGCUACAAAAGAAGAAGCGUAGCAACAACAGUAGCAAUAAAAGAACAACGAUGGAGAGAAAACACGCGAAGAAGAAGAAGGAGUGCGACGAAAAAGAAGGAGAAAUGCGAAGAAGAAGAAGGAAGAACGCAAGGAAGAAGAAGGAACAUGAAGACGAAGAAGGAUAUGUUUGCGUUAGUGUAACGAGCGUGUGUAUACGCUACGUGUAAUGAAAAUGAUUUUUGUUGAGUUUGAGUCAAUUUAAUUGGAUUUGGUUGUUAAAAAGACUUAGAGGUGUAUUAGAACUGGUAUUUUAAUUCAUUUGUUAACUU
This is a long non-coding RNA of Arachis stenosperma, 895 nucleotides long. RefSeq lists it as uncharacterized. The transcript is spliced from 3 exons. Lineage: Eukaryota; Viridiplantae; Streptophyta; Magnoliopsida; Fabales; Fabaceae. The record is from RefSeq and is a predicted model, not a curated record.